GAUGAAGAACGCAGCGAAAUGCGAUAAGUAAUGUGAAUUGCAGAAUUCAGUGAAUCAUCGAAUCUUUGAACGCACAUUGCGCCCGCUAGUAUUCUGGCGGGCAUGCCUGUCCGAGCGUCAUUUCAACCCUCAAGCCCCCGGGCUUGGUGUUGGGGAUCGGCGAGCCUCCGCGCCCGCCGUCCCCUAAAUCUAGUGGCGGUCUCGCUGUAGCUUCCUCUGCGUAGUAGCACACCUCGCACUGGGAAACAGCGCGGCCACGCCGUUAAACCCCCAACUUCUGAACGUUUGACCUCGGAUCAGGUAGGAAUACCCGCUGAACUUAAGCAUAUAAAAAGCGGAGGA
Molecule: unclassified non-coding RNA, 342 nt
Filed under: soil metagenome
Description: partial contains 5.8S ribosomal RNA, internal transcribed spacer 2, and large subunit ribosomal RNA
Rfam family: 5.8S ribosomal RNA (bases 1-120)
Source: RNAcentral